UGGGGGAUAUUGCACAAUGGAGGAAACUCUGAUGCAGCGACGCCGCGUGAGGGAAGAAGGUCUUCGGAUUGUAAACCUCUGUCUUUGGGGACGAAGAAAGUGACGGUACCCAAAGAGGAAGCCACGGCUAACUACGUGCCAGCAGCCGCGGUAAUACGUAGGUGGCGAGCGUUGUCCGGAAUUACUGGGUGUAAAGGGUGCGUAGGCGGACUGGCAAGUUGGAUGUGAAAUCUCCGCGCUUAACGUGGAGGUUGCAUUCAAAACUGUUGGUCUUGAGUGUGGCAGAGGCAGGCGGAAUUCCAGGUGUAGCGGUGAAAUGCGUAGAGAUCGGGAGGAACACCAAUGGCGAAGGCAGUCACUUGGUCCAUUACUGACGCUAAAGCACGAAAGCGUGGGUAGCAAACA
This 405-nucleotide ribosomal RNA is filed under the name uncultured bacterium. RNAcentral describes it as "bacterial SSU rRNA". It matches the Rfam family "Bacterial small subunit ribosomal RNA", at positions 355 to 774 of the family's 1533-position model. The record is from RNAcentral.